RNAcentral lists this ribosomal RNA (620 nucleotides) under uncultured bacterium. Its description in RNAcentral is "bacterial SSU rRNA". It matches the Rfam family "Bacterial small subunit ribosomal RNA", at positions 8 to 624 of the family's 1533-position model. The record is from RNAcentral.
AGAGUUUGAUCCUGGCUCAGAUUGAACGCUGGCGGCAUGCUAACACAUGCAAGUCGAACGGUAACAGGUCUUCGGAUGCUGACGAGUGGCGGACGGGUGAGUAACGCGUAGGAAUCUGUCUUUGAGUGGGGGACAACCCAGGGAAACUUGGGCUAAUACCGCAUAAGCCCUGAGGGGGAAAGCGGGGGAUCUUCGGACCUCGCGCUGGAAGAGGAGCCUACGUCUGAUUAGCUAGUUGGNAGGGUAAAGGCCUACCAAGGCGACGAUCGGUAGCUGGUCUGAGAGGACGACCAGCCACACUGGGACUGAGACACGGCCCAGACUCCUACGGGAGGCAGCAGUGGGGAAUUUUUCGCAAUGGGGGCAACCCUGACGAAGCAAUGCCGCGUGAAUGAAGAAGGCCUUCGGGUUGUAAAGUUCUUUCGUGGAGGACGAAAAGGUAGGUGCUAAUAUCGCCUGCUGUUGACGUGAAUCCAAGAAGAAGCACCGGCUAACUCCGUGCCAGCAGCCGCGGUAAUACGGGGGGGUGCAAGCGUUAAUCGGAAUCACUGGGCGUAAAGGGUGCGUAGGCGGUGCAUUAGGUCUGUCGUGAAAUCCCCGGGCUCAACCUGGGGAAUGGC